GAUGAACGCUGGCGGCGUGCCUAAUACAUGCAAGUCGAGCGAACAGACGAUGAGCUUGCUCCUCUGACGUUAGCGACGGACGGGUGAGUAACACGUGGAUAACCUACCUAUAAGACUGGGAUAACUUCGGGAAACCGGAGCUAAUACCGGAUCAUAUAUUGAACCGCAUGGUUCAAUAGUUCAAGACGGUUUUGCUGUCACUUAUAGAUGAUUCCGCGUCGCAUUAGCUAGUUGGUAAGGUAACGGCUUACCAAGGCAACGAUGCGUAGCCGACCUGAGAGGGUGAUCGGCCACACUGGAACUGAGACACGGUCCAGACUCCUACGGGAGGCAGCAGUAGGGAAUCUUCGGCAAAGGGCGAAAGCCUGACGGAGCAACACCGCGUGAGUGAUGAAGGUCUUCGGAUCGUAAAACUCUGUUAUUAGGGAAGAACAAAUGUGGAAGUAUCUAUGCAUGUCUUGACGGUACCUAAACAGAAAGCCACGGCUAACUACGUG
RNAcentral lists this ribosomal RNA (497 nucleotides) under uncultured bacterium. Its description in RNAcentral is "partial 16S ribosomal RNA". It matches the Rfam family "Bacterial small subunit ribosomal RNA", at positions 28 to 507 of the family's 1533-position model. The record is from RNAcentral.